CAUGUCUUUUUGAAUAUUAUAAAAAGUCUGACCUGCCCUAUGAUUAAUAGUUAAAUGGCUGCGGUACUUUGACCGUGCAAAGGUAGCAUAAUAAUUAGUUUCUUAAUUGGGAACUGGUAUGAACGGUUGGACGAGAAAAAUACUGUCUCAAUUUAAUUUAAAUUAAAAAUUUAUUUUUAAGUAAAAAAGCUUAAAUAUUUUUAAAAGACGAGAAGACCCUAUAGAAUUUUAUAUUUAUUAUUAUUUUUAAAAGUUAAAGUAUUUUAGAUUUAAUUAUAAUAAUCAAUAUUUGGUUGGGGCAAUCGAGAAAUUAAAUGAAUUUUUUCUAUAUUUUAACAUUGAUUUAUGAUUAAUUGAUCCAUAAUAUUAUGAUUAUAAGAUUAAAUUACCUUAGGGAUAACAGCGUAAUUUUUUUUUAGAGUUCUUAUCGAAAAAAAAGUUUGCGACC
This 448-nucleotide ribosomal RNA is filed under the name Canthidium guanacaste. RNAcentral's name for it is "partial 16S ribosomal RNA". It matches the Rfam family "Bacterial large subunit ribosomal RNA", at positions 1816 to 2525 of the family's 2925-position model. Lineage: Eukaryota; Metazoa; Arthropoda; Insecta; Coleoptera; Scarabaeidae. The record is from RNAcentral.